This 75-nucleotide transfer RNA is filed under the name Alphaproteobacteria bacterium MarineAlpha6_Bin3. RNAcentral describes it as "tRNA-Thr". It matches the Rfam family "tRNA". Rfam says of the family: Transfer RNA (tRNA) molecules are approximately 80 nucleotides in length. Their secondary structure includes four short double-helical elements and three loops (D, anti-codon, and T loops). RNAcentral also lists the same sequence under 1 other name. The record is from RNAcentral. Lineage: Bacteria; Pseudomonadati; Pseudomonadota; Alphaproteobacteria.
GCCGCCAUAGCUCAGUGGUAGAGCACACCAUUGGUAAUGGUGGGGUCGGUGGUUCAAUUCCACUUGGCGGCACCA